Molecule: long non-coding RNA, 341 nt
Filed under: Corvus moneduloides (New Caledonian crow)
Lineage: Eukaryota; Metazoa; Chordata; Aves; Passeriformes; Corvidae
Description: lncRNA (ENSCMUG00000013871.2)
Source: RNAcentral
UUUGAGCAGCAGCAUAGGUACUCUUUUCUGUGUGCCACUCAUAUGAUCUGCAAGCACAUAUCUGUGUAAAUUUGGACCACACACCCUCCUCCCAAUUGCCUCCAGCACAGCUGCCUGUACGGGAGGCCCUUCAGAGUCAUGGCACAGUCUGUCAGGUGACAGCAGCAGUAGGAGAAGACAACAAGAGAAAACUGUGAAGUGUCCUGGGUGUGGCAGAAAGAAGAAUGCCAUUAACUCAUAAGGCAAAUACAAAUUUUAUUACUUAAUAUUGUGAAGUGCUGUUACUGUGUUAUACCUCUGUUUAAAUUAGUCUUAGUCCAGUUUUUCUUUUUCCACCAGUU